ACGAGUGGCGGACGGGUGAGUAACACGUGGGUAACCUGCCCUUAAGUGGGGGAUAACAUUUGGAAACAGAUGCUAAUACCGCAUAGAUCCAAGAACCGCAUGGUUCUUGGCUGAAAGAUGGCGUAAGCUAUCGCUUUUGGAUGGACCCGCGGCGUAUUAGCUAGUUGGUGAGGUAAUGGCUCACCAAGGCGAUGAUACGUAGCCGAACUGAGAGGUUGAUCGGCCACAUUGGGACUGAGACACGGCCCAAACUCCUACGGGAGGCAGCAGUAGGGAAUCUUCCACAAUGGACGCAAGUCUGAUGGAGCAACGCCGCGUGAGUGAAGAAGGCUUUCGGGUCGUAAAACUCUGUUGUUGGAGAAGAAUGGUCGGCAGAGUAACUGUUGUCGGCGUGACGGUAUCCAACCAGAAAGCCACGGCUAACUACGUGCCAGCAGCCGCGGUAAUACGUAGGUGGCAAGCGUUAUCCGGAUUUAUUGGGCGUAAAGCGAGCGCAGGCGGUUUUUUAAGUCUGAUGUGAAAGCCCUCGGCUUAACCGAGGAAGCGCAUCGGAAACUGGGAAACUUGAGUGCAGAAGAGGACAGUGGAACUCCAUGUGUAGCGGUGAAAUGCGUAGAUMUAUGGAAGAACACCAGUGGCGAAGGCGGCUGUCUGGUCUGUAACUGACGCUGAGGCUCGAAAGCAUGGGUAGCGAACAGGAUUAGAUACCCUGGUAGUCCAUGCCGUAAACGAUGAAUGCUAGGUGUUGGAGGGUUUCCGCCCUUCAGUGCCGCAGCUAACGCAUUAAGCAUUCCGCCUGGGGAGUACGACCGCAAGGUUGAAACUCAAAGGGAAUUGACGGGGGCCCGCACAAGCGGUGGAGCAUGUGGUUUAAUUCGAAGCAACGCGAAGAACCUUACCAGGUCUUGACAUCUUUUGAUCACCUGAGAGAUCAGGUUUCCCCUUCGGGGGCAAAAUGACAGGUGGUGCAUGGUUGUCGUCAGCUCGUGUCGUGAGAUGUUGGGUUAAGUCCCGCAACGAGCGCAACCCUUAUGACUAGUUGCCAGCAUUUAGUUGGGCACUCUAGUAAGACUGCCGGUGACAAACCGGAGGAAGGUGGGGAUGACGUCAAAUCAUCAUGCCCCUUAUGACCUGGGCUACACACGUGCUACAAUGGAUGGUACAACGAGUUGCGAGACCGCGAGGUCAAGCUAAUCUCUUAAAGCCAUUCUCAGUUCGGACUGUAGGCUGCAACUCGCCUACACGAAGUCGGAAUCGCUAGUAAUCGCGGAUCAGCACGCCGCGGUGAAUACGUUCCCGGGCCUUGUACACACCGCCCGUCACACCAUGAGAGUUUGUAACACCCGAAGCCGGUGGCGUAACCCUUUUAGGGAGCGAGCCGUCUAAGGUGGGAC
RNAcentral lists this ribosomal RNA (1394 nucleotides) under Lacticaseibacillus paracasei subsp. paracasei. RNAcentral describes it as "Lactobacillus paracasei subsp. paracasei 16S ribosomal RNA". It matches the Rfam family "Bacterial small subunit ribosomal RNA", at positions 91 to 1468 of the family's 1533-position model. Lineage: Bacteria; Bacillati; Bacillota; Bacilli; Lactobacillales; Lactobacillaceae. The record is from RNAcentral.